CUACUCUUGACAUCCAGAGAACUUUCCAGAGAUGGAGAGGUGCCUUCGGGAGCUCUGAGACAGGUGCUGCAUGGCUGUCGUCAGCUCGUGUUGUGAAAUGUUGGGUUAAGUCCCGCAACGAGCGCAACCCUUAUCCCCUGUUGCCAGCGGUUCGGCCGGGAACUCAGAGGAGACUGCCGGUUAUAAACCGGAGGAAGGUGGGGACGACGUCAAGUCAUCAUGGCCCUUACGACCAGGGCUACACACGUGCUACAAUGGUUUAUACAAAGAGAAGCAAAUCUGCAAAGACAAGCAAACCUCAUAAAGUAAAUCGUAGUCCGGACUGGAGUCUGCAACUCGACUCCACGAAGUCGGAAUCGCUAGUAAUCGUGGAUCAGAAUGCCACGGUGAAUACGUUCCC
This 400-nucleotide ribosomal RNA is filed under the name Buchnera aphidicola (Acyrthosiphon pisum). RNAcentral's name for it is "bacterial SSU rRNA". It matches the Rfam family "Bacterial small subunit ribosomal RNA", at positions 975 to 1375 of the family's 1533-position model. The record is from RNAcentral. Lineage: Bacteria; Pseudomonadati; Pseudomonadota; Gammaproteobacteria; Enterobacterales; Erwiniaceae.